AGCUCCAAUAAUGUAUAUUAAAGUUGUUGCGGUUAAAAGCUCGUAGUUGGAUUUCUGUUGAAAUUGGCCGGUCCCUGCUCUGCAGGAGUAUCUGGCGCGAUUUUGGCAUCCUCCUGGGGAACGUUGCUGCCCUUUAUUGAGUGGCGCGGUACCCAGGACUUUUACUUUGAGGAAAUUCGAGUGUUUACGGCAGGCAAUCGCCCUGAAGAUAUUAGCAUGGAAUAAUAACAUAGGACUUUGGUCUUAUUUUGUUGGUUUCUAAGACUAAAGUAAUGAUUAAAAGGGAUAUUUGGGGGCAUUCGUAUUAAGCGGUCAGAGGUGGAAUUCUUGGAUUCGCUUACGACGAACUACUGCGAAAGCAUUGUCAAGAAUGUUUUCA
This 379-nucleotide ribosomal RNA is filed under the name uncultured eukaryote. Its description in RNAcentral is "SSU rRNA". It matches the Rfam family "Eukaryotic small subunit ribosomal RNA", at positions 587 to 972 of the family's 1831-position model. The record is from RNAcentral.